ACAGUACAAACUGAACAGGCCGUGAGUUUUUUCGUAUGGAAAAGCUCUGGGAGCCGGGCCGCUCAGGCGGCAGCAGAUGAACUGACUUAUUUCGUACAUCUGUGGGACAGGA
Molecule: non-coding RNA, 112 nt
Submitted as: unclassified sequences
Source: Rfam